RNAcentral lists this ribosomal RNA (579 nucleotides) under Fusarium merismoides. RNAcentral's name for it is "LSU rRNA". It matches the Rfam family "Eukaryotic large subunit ribosomal RNA", at positions 35 to 628 of the family's 3401-position model. The record is from RNAcentral. Lineage: Eukaryota; Fungi; Ascomycota; Sordariomycetes; Hypocreales; Nectriaceae.
UGUCCAUAUCAAUAAGCGGAGGAAAAGAAACCAACAGGGAUUGCCCUAGUAACGGCGAGUGAAGCGGCAACAGCUCAAAUUUGAAAUCUGGCCCUCGGGUCCGAGUUGUAAUUUGUAGAGGAUGCUUUUGGUGCGGUACCUUCCGAGUUCCCUGGAACGGGACGCCAUAGAGGGUGAGAGCCCCGUCUGGUUGGAUACCAAUCCUCUGUAAAGCUCCUUCGACGAGUCGAGUAGUUUGGGAAUGCUGCUCUAAAUGGGAGGUAUAUGUCUUCUAAAGCUAAAUACCGGCCAGAGACCGAUAGCGCACAAGUAGAGUGAUCGAAAGAUGAAAAGCACUUUGAAAAGAGGGUUAAACAGUACGUGAAAUUGUUGAAAGGGAAGCGCUUGUGACCAGACUUGGGCACGGUUAAUCAUCCAGCGUUCUCGCUGGUGCACUUGGCCUGCCCAGGCCAGCAUCAGUUCGGUGCGGGGGAUAAAGGCUUCGGGAAUGUGGCUCUCCGGGAGUGUUAUAGCCCGUUGCGCAAUACCCUGCGCUGUAUUGUUUCGCGCUCUGCAGGAUGCGGCGAGUUCCACGCGGCA